GACGAACGCUGGCGGCGUGCCUAAUACAUGCAAGUCGAACGCUUUUUCUUUCACCGGAGCUUGCUCCACCGAAAGAAAAAGAGUGGCGAACGGGUGAGUAACACGUGGGUAACCUGCCCAUCAGAAGGGGAUAACACUUGGAAACAGGUGCUAAUACCGUAUAACACUAUUUUCCGCAUGGAAGAAAGUUGAAAGGCGCUUUUGCGUCACUGAUGUAUGGACCCGCGGUGCAUUAGCUAGUUAGUGAGGUAACGGCUCACCAAGGCAACGAUGAAUAGCCGACCUGAGAGGGUGAUCGGCCACACUGGGACUGAGACACGGCCCAGACUCCUACGGGAGGCAGCAGUAGGGAAUCUUCGGCAACGGACGAAAGUCUGACCGAGCAACGCCGCGUGAGUGAAGAAGGUUUUCGGAUCGUAAAACUCUGUUGUUAGAGAAGAACAAGGAUGAGAGUAGAACGUUCAUCCCUUGACGGUAUCUAACCAGAAAGCCACGGCUAACUACGUGCCAGCCGCCGCCGUAA
Molecule: ribosomal RNA, 523 nt
Filed under: uncultured bacterium
Lineage: Bacteria
Description: partial 16S ribosomal RNA
Rfam family: Bacterial small subunit ribosomal RNA
Source: RNAcentral